CCUACGGGAGGCAGCAGUGAGGAAUAUUGGUCAAUGGACGCAAGUCUGAACCAGCCAUGCCGCGUGCAGGAAGACGGCUCUAUGAGUUGUAAACUGCUUUUGUACGAGGGUAAACGCAGAUACGCGUAUCUGUCUGAAAGUAUCGUUAGAAUAAGGAUCGGCUAACUCCGUGCCAGCAGCCGCGGUAAUACGGAGGAUUCAAGCGUUAUCCGGAUUUAUUGGGUUUAAAGGGUGCGUAGGCGGUCGGAUAAGUUAGAGGGGAAAUCCCGAGGCUCAACUUCGGAAUUGCCUCUGAUACUGUUCGGCUAGAGAGUAGUUGCGGUAGGCGGAAUGUAUGGUGUAGCGGUGAAAUGCUUAGAGAUCAUACAGAACACCGAUUGCGAAGGCAGCUUACCAAGCUACUUCUGACGUUGAGGCACGAAAGCGUGGGGAGCAAACAGGAUUAGAUACCCGAGUAGUC
Molecule: ribosomal RNA, 460 nt
Filed under: uncultured bacterium
Lineage: Bacteria
Description: partial 16S ribosomal RNA
Rfam family: Bacterial small subunit ribosomal RNA
Source: RNAcentral